GGACUACCAGGGUAUCUAAUCCUGUUUGCUCCCCUAGCUUUCGUUCCUCAGCGUCAGUUGCGAUCCAGCCAGCCGCCUUCGCCACGGGUGUUCCUGCAGAUAUCUACGCAUUUCACCGCUACACCUGCAAUUCCACUGGCCUCUCUCGCACUCUAGCAUGGCAGUUUCGGGAGCAGCCUCCAAGUUAAGCCUGGAGAUUUCACUUCCGACUUGCCACACCGCCUACGAACCCUUUACGCCCAGUAAUUCCGAGCAACGCUGGCCCCCUACGUCUUACCGCGGCUGCUGGCAC
This 292-nucleotide ribosomal RNA is filed under the name uncultured Acidobacteriota bacterium. RNAcentral's name for it is "uncultured Acidobacteria bacterium partial 16S ribosomal RNA". Lineage: Bacteria; Pseudomonadati; Acidobacteriota. The record is from RNAcentral.